GAUCCUGGCUCAGGAUGAACGCUGGCGGCGUGCCUAAUACAUGCAAGUCGAACGAGAGUGCUUGCACUCGAGUGGCGAACGGGUGAGUAACACGUAGGUAACCUGCCUCACAGUUUGGGAUACCCAGAGGAAACUUUGGCUAAUACCGGAUAAUGGUUGGAAGGCAUCUUCCGACUCUAAAAGGGGCCUUUAAAGCCUCGCUGAGAGAUGGACCUGCGGCGCAUUAGCUAGUUGGUGAGAUAACAGCCCACCAAGGCGAGGAUGCGUAGCCGACCUGAGAGGGUGAACGGCCACACUGGAACUGAGACACGGUCCAGACUCCUACGGGAGGCAGCAGUAGGGAGUUUUCGGCAAUGGGGGAAACCCUGACCGAGCAACGCCGCGUGAGUGAUUGAAGGUCUUCGGAUUGUAAAGCUCUGUUGUAGGGGAAGAACGAUAUGAUGAGGAAAUGCUUCAUAUUUCGACGGUACCUUAUUAGAAAGCCACGGCUAACUACGUGCCAGCCGCCGC
This 510-nucleotide ribosomal RNA is filed under the name uncultured bacterium. RNAcentral describes it as "bacterial SSU rRNA". It matches the Rfam family "Bacterial small subunit ribosomal RNA", at positions 15 to 518 of the family's 1533-position model. The record is from RNAcentral.